UACCGCAUACGCCCUACGGGGGAAAGCAGGGGAUCGCAAGACCUUGCACUAUUAGAGCGGCCGAUAUCGGAUUAGCUAGUUGGUGGGGUAACGGCUCACCAAGGCGACGAUCCGUAGCUGGUUUGAGAGGACGACCAGCCACACUGGGACUGAGACACGGCCCAGACUCCUACGGGAGGCAGCAGUGGGGAAUUUUGGACAAUGGGGGAAACCCUGAUCCAGCCAUCCCGCGUGUGCGAUGAAGGCCUUCGGGUUGUAAAGCACUUUUGGCAGGAAAGAAACGUCAUGGGCUAAUACCCCGUGAAACUGACGGUACCUGCAGAAUAAGCACCGGCUAACUACGUGCCAGCAGCCGCGGUAAUACGUAGGGUGCAAGCGUUAAUCGGAAUUACUGGGCGUAAAGCGUGCGCAGGCGGUUCGGAAAGAAAGAUGUGAAAUCCCAGAGCUUAACUUUGGAACUGCAUUUUUAACUA
This 473-nucleotide ribosomal RNA is filed under the name Achromobacter xylosoxidans. RNAcentral's name for it is "bacterial SSU rRNA". It matches the Rfam family "Bacterial small subunit ribosomal RNA", at positions 167 to 635 of the family's 1533-position model. Lineage: Bacteria; Pseudomonadati; Pseudomonadota; Betaproteobacteria; Burkholderiales; Alcaligenaceae. The record is from RNAcentral.